Molecule: ribosomal RNA, 351 nt
Filed under: Triticum aestivum (bread wheat)
Lineage: Eukaryota; Viridiplantae; Streptophyta; Magnoliopsida; Poales; Poaceae
Description: partial small subunit ribosomal RNA
Source: RNAcentral
AUGAUGCAGGAUGGAUGGCAGGGGAAGAAGAAAAAAAGAAGAAAAGAAAAGGUGAAACAUACAAAAGUAAAAAAUGGCAGUUUUGCCCCUGGGGGGGUGCAGGCAGUACAAGUAAAGACAGACAGGCAGGCGAUGAGGGAGUCGGAGCCACCAAAUAGAUCCCCCCCUACCCUCCCCCCUCUGCUCCGCUCUGCCUUGCUUCCCCUCCCACCGACUCCUCCCUCCUCCAUUGAUGGCCGCCACCAAGAACCCCCCAACCCCCACCUGACCGCCGCGCGUUCUCGCCCGCCUUGCGCCGAGAGGAGGAGCCGGACCUGUUGUUAUUAUCUUGUUUCAAGGCGGGGGCUUUAA